Elasticomyces elasticus is the source of this 75-nucleotide non-coding RNA. The record is from the annotation of a GenBank genome assembly. Lineage: Eukaryota; Fungi; Ascomycota; Dothideomycetes; Mycosphaerellales; Teratosphaeriaceae.
GGAUGAGUGGUCCAAAUGGUAAGAUACAUCCCAUAUUCAUUGGCUGUGAUGGUGGUUCAAGUCCGCUCUCAUCCA